GGAUCCAGACUUUGAUCAUGGCUCAGGACGAACGCUGGCGGCGUGCCUAAUACAUGCAAGUAGAACGCUGAAGAGAGGAGCUUGCUCUUCUUGGAUGAGUUGCGAACGGGUGAGUAACGCGUAGGUAACCUGCCUUGUAGCGGGGGAUAACUAUUGGAAACGAUAGCUAAUACCGCAUAACAAUGGAUGACACAUGUCAUUUAUUUGAAAGGGGCAAUUGCUCCACUACAAGAUGGACCUGCGUUGUAUUAGCUAGUAGGUGAGGUAACGGCUCACCUAGGCGACGAUACAUAGCCGACCUGAGAGGGUGAUCGGCCACACUGGGACUGAGACACGGCCCAGACUCCUACGGGAGGCAGCAGUAGGGAAUCUUCGGCAAUGGGGGCAACCCUGACCGAGCAACGCCGCGUGAGUGAAGAAGGUUUUCGGAUCGUAAAGCUCUGUUGUAAGUCAAGAACGAGUGUGAGAGUGGAAAGUUCACACUGUGACGGUAGCUUACCAGAAAGGGACGGCUAACUACGUGCCAGCAGCCGCGGUAAUACGUAGGUCCCGAGCGUUGUCCGGAUUUAUUGGGCGUAAAGCGAGCGCAGGCGGUUUGAUAAGUCUGAAGUUAAAGGCUGUGGCUCAACCAUAGUUCGCUUUGGAAACUGUCAAACUUGAGUGCAGAAGGGGAGAGUGGAAUUCCAUGUGUAGCGGUGAAAUGCGUAGAUAUAUGGAGGAACACCGGUGGCGAAAGCGGCUCUCUGGUCUGUAACUGACGCUGAGGCUCGAAAGCGUGGGGAGCGAGCAGGAUUAGAUACCCUGGUAGUCCACGCCGUAAACGAUGAGUGCUAGGUGUUGGAUCCUUUCCGGGAUUCAGUGCCGCAGCUAACGCAUUAAGCACUCCGCCUGGGGAGUACGACCGCAAGGUUGCAACUCAAAUGAAUUGACGG
This 932-nucleotide ribosomal RNA is filed under the name uncultured Bacillota bacterium. RNAcentral describes it as "bacterial SSU rRNA". It matches the Rfam family "Bacterial small subunit ribosomal RNA", at positions 1 to 916 of the family's 1533-position model. The record is from RNAcentral. Lineage: Bacteria; Bacillati; Bacillota.